UAAAUUGCCCCUGCUAUAACCAAAACACCCGCCAGAGUAUUACGAGCACAAACGCUUAAAACUCUAAGGACUUGGCGGUGCCCCAAACCCACCUAGAGGAGCCUGUCCUAUAAUCAGCAACCCACGAUACACCCGACCGCCCCUCGCACACAAGCAGCCUACAUACUGCCGUCGCCAGCCCACCUCCUGAGAGCCCAACAGUGGGCACAAGAGCUAACCCGCUAGCAAGACAGGUCAAGGUAUAGCCCAUGGGGCGGAAGAGAUGGGCUACAUUCUCUAAGGUAGAGAACCCAAUGGACGGGGGCAUGAAAUUGCCCCCUAAAGUCGGAUUUAGUAGUAAAGGCAGCCCCAUAAAACUGCCUUUAAGAAGG
This 371-nucleotide ribosomal RNA is filed under the name Surnia ulula (northern hawk-owl). RNAcentral's name for it is "partial 12S small subunit ribosomal RNA". It matches the Rfam family "Bacterial small subunit ribosomal RNA", at positions 839 to 1371 of the family's 1533-position model. Lineage: Eukaryota; Metazoa; Chordata; Aves; Strigiformes; Strigidae. The record is from RNAcentral.